Long non-coding RNA from Oncorhynchus masou masou (cherry salmon), 1630 nucleotides. RefSeq lists it as uncharacterized. NCBI's taxonomy places the organism in Eukaryota, Metazoa, Chordata, Actinopteri, Salmoniformes, Salmonidae. The record is from RefSeq and is a predicted model, not a curated record. The transcript has 3 exons.
AGAAACAGUCAGGUUAGGAUCAGGCAGUCAGUGAGAAACAGUCAGGUUAGGAUCAGGCAGUCAGUGAGAAACAGUCAGGUGUGCCAAACAGAAUCCACUCCGUUCAGCACCAUGGACAGCAGCUGUUCGGAACGCGACAACUCCGUGGCAACAACACAGCAACGCAUCACAGUCUCCCCACAAAGCGAUCCGUGGGCGGUGUUUGACACCCGGUAGCGGCUGGGGAGCGUGGGGGCUGGCUGGCUGUCAUCUGUUUCACCGGCACGUUUCACGAAGAGGAGCAGCCAGGCGCCCACCUACCGUUGUUUUGUUUUUUUAAAACCUCCAGAUUGACUUCCGUUUACGCUUUCACCGCUCUUAGGGUCAGCUCACGAGACUGGACUGGACUAAAACAUUGAGAUUUCAGAAAACAAACCGGGUUUGAAAAACGGGAUAUAUAUAUUUUUAAUUUGUGCUUUUCGGUGUGUGAGUGAGGGAGCAAAAGAGAGAGGAGAGAGGGAGCGUGUAAGUGUCGUGUUGUUUGUGUCGGUGUUUCGGCUAAACCGCUUUAUGUGUUUGUGUGCAGCUGGCUAUGGGUCUGUAUGAGUGUGUGUGGAGUGUGUUCGCUCUGGACUGGAGGGGAUAACCAAGAAAAAUGUCAGCGUGUCAACAACAACAACAACAACAACAGAGGCAGGCUAACGGUCGGAUGUGUACUUGCCUUUUCUCUCAUACCGGGAGAUAGAAAAGGCGCUCGUUCAUUCAGGAAGGAGGAGGACGUUACCGGAAUACCUAAGAGACGAGUGGAACUGAACCGUCUUCCCGCCUGUCUGACUGACUGUCUGUCUGCCUGGCUAACGUGAAUGAAAUCUAGAGGAGGAGGAGAGCGUUUCUAUCCACAGCCGUCAAGAAUUCAAUCGACGGAUGAAGAUGGAGUCAUUCCGCCGCUGUGGACGUUAAACGGACGUUAGGUCUGGAGAGGCUGGUUGGGGAAGUUGAGCUGAGGAGACUGAACGGGGGAAAGAGGGAGAGGCGGAUCGUGAAGCUGACAGGGACGCAGACCAGCCCAGCCUUGGAUUUCAACAGGAGAUUCCAAGAAGAAGAGAAAUAUGUGGCGUCACCGCUGCCGCCAGUCUAGUCUGUGGUGGAGUCUUGAGCCAGUGGUCGUUAAAACGACCCGGCUUGAUCAGUGAAGCCCCGAGCCUUCUCUCUCUCUCUCUCUCUCUCUCUCUCUCUCUCUCUCUCUCUCUCUACCUCGCUCUUCCUUUCCCUUCUCUUUAAAUGUAAAUUACAUCGGUUGUUUCUCAGUAAGUAAGCUGUCUCGUGACGUGAGAUACUCAAAACCGUCAAUGAAGAUGUUGAUGUGUGACCGGGGCGUCCAGAUGCUGGUGACCACCGUGGGGGCGUUCGCCGCCUUCAGCCUCAUGACGAUAGCGGUCGGGACCGAUUACUGGCUGUACUCACGAGGGACGUGCAAAAGCAAAAGCACCAAUGACAACGACACAAGCCGGAAGAACGAAGAGGUGAUGACUCACUCUGGUCUGUGGCGAACCUGCUGUCUGGAAGGAACGUUCCGAGGUGUGUGUAAGAAGAUCGACCACUUCCCAGAGGCCACAGAUUAUGAGGCAGACGCUGCAGAAUACCUUCUACG